Long non-coding RNA from Stomoxys calcitrans (stable fly), 197 nucleotides. RefSeq lists it as uncharacterized. The record is from RefSeq and is a predicted model, not a curated record. NCBI's taxonomy places the organism in Eukaryota, Metazoa, Arthropoda, Insecta, Diptera, Muscidae. The transcript is spliced from 2 exons.
GUUUAUCGCUGUCUUUGGCUGAUACUUUUUUAUUGAAAUUGUUUUAUAUAACUAUCAAACUAUCACACUACAUAGUAAAAUAAAGCAACAACGUCAUAGUUAUUAUUGACAAAAAUCUAAUACAAAAGAUGUCAGACUAUACGAUUUCAUCAUAAGCACAAAAUUAAAUGUAGCCAUUUUCAUUUUUAAGUUGGCAA